RNAcentral lists this unclassified non-coding RNA (444 nucleotides) under Hevea brasiliensis (rubber tree). Lineage: Eukaryota; Viridiplantae; Streptophyta; Magnoliopsida; Malpighiales; Euphorbiaceae. The record is from RNAcentral.
CUCCUUCCAUUUCCAUUCACCCCUUUCACUGUCUCUCUUCUAGUCUCGCUACCUCUCCCAGCAUGAGCAAGGGACCUGGACUCUUCUCCGAUAUCGGCAAGAAAGCUAAAGAUCUGUUGACAAAGGAUUACAGCUCCGAUCAGAAGUUCAGCGUCUACACUUUCAGCGAUGCCGGAGUGGCCCUGACAUCAACAGCUGUUAAAAACGGAGGGCUUUCUACUGGGGAUGUUGCAGCACUGUACAAAUACAAGAAUACUUUAUUUGAUGUCAAAGUUGAUACAGAGUCCAAUAUCUCAACAACCCUCACAAUCUAUGAGAUUAUUCCAUCCACUAAGACUAUUGCUUCAUUGAAAUUUCCUGAAUACAAUGCUGGCAAGUUGGAGGUUCAAUAUUUCCAUCACCAUGCAACCUUCACCACAGCCCUUGCUUUGAACAAAUCUCCUG